RNAcentral lists this ribosomal RNA (484 nucleotides) under uncultured bacterium. RNAcentral's name for it is "partial 16S ribosomal RNA". It matches the Rfam family "Bacterial small subunit ribosomal RNA", at positions 30 to 507 of the family's 1533-position model. The record is from RNAcentral.
AUUGAACGCUGGCGGAAUGCUUUACACAUGCAAGUCGAGCGGCAGCGCGGCCUUCGGGCUGGCGGCGAGCGGCGAACGGGUGAGUAAUGCAUCGGAACAUGCCCAGUCGUGGGGGAUAACACUUCGAAAGAAGUGCUAAUACCGCAUACGUCCUGAGGGGGAAAGCGGGGGAUCGCAAGACCUCGCGCGAUUGGAGUGGCCGAUGUCAGAUUAGCUAGUUGGUGGGGUAAAGGCCUACCAAGGCGACGAUCUGUAGCUGGUCUGAGAGGAUGAUCAGCCACACUGGGACUGAGACACGGCCUAGACUCCUACGGGAGGCAGCAGUGGGGAAUUUUGGACAAUGGGGGCAACCCUGAUCCAGCCAUUCCGCGUGAGUGAAGAAGGCCUUCGGGUUGUAAAGCUCUUUCGGCAGGAACGAAACGGUGGGCUCUAACAUAGUCCGCUAAUGACGGUACCUGAAGAAGAAGCACCGGCUAACUACGUG